RNAcentral lists this ribosomal RNA (824 nucleotides) under uncultured bacterium. RNAcentral describes it as "bacterial SSU rRNA". It matches the Rfam family "Bacterial small subunit ribosomal RNA", at positions 54 to 870 of the family's 1533-position model. The record is from RNAcentral.
CAUGCAAGUCGAGGGGCAGCGGGAUUGAAGCUUGCUUCAAUUGCCGGCGACCGGCGCACGGGUGAGUGACGCGUAUCCAACCUUCCGUACACUCAGGGAUAGCCUUUCGAAAGAAAGAUUAAUACCUGAUGGUAUGAUGAGAUUGCAUGAUAGCAUCAUUAAAGAUUCAUCGGUGUACGAUGGGGAUGCGUUCCAUUAGGUAGUAGGCGGGGUAACGGCCCACCUAGCCUACGAUGGAUAGGGGUUCUGAGAGGAAGGUCCCCCACAUUGGAACUGAGACACGGUCCAAACUCCUACGGGAGGCAGCAGCGAGGAAUAUUGGUCAAUGGACGAGAGUCUGAACCAGCCAAGUAGCGUGAAGGAUGAAGGUCCUACGGAUUGUAAACUUCUUUUAUAAGGGAAUAAAACCUCCCACGUGUGGGAGCUUGUAUGUACCUUAUGAAUAAGCAUCGGCUAACUCCGUGCCAGCAGCCGCGGUAAUACGGAGGAUGCGAGCGUUAUCCGGAUUUAUUGGGUUUAAAGGGAGCGCAGACGGGUCGUUAAGUCAGCUGUGAAAGUUUGGGGCUCAACCUUAAAAUUGCAGUUGAUACUGGCGUCCUUGAGUGCGGUUGAGGUGUGCGGAAUUCGUGGUGUAGCGGUGAAAUGCUUAGAUAUCACGAAGAACUCCGAUUGCGAAGGCAGCACACUAAGCCGUAACUGACGUUCAUGCUCGAAAGUGUGGGUAUCAAACAGGAUUAGAUACCCUGGUAGUCCACACGGUAAACGAUGGAUACUCGCUGUUGGCGAUAUACUGUCAGCGGCUUAGCGAAAGCGUUAAGUAUCCC